CCUACGGGAGGCAGCAGUGAGGAAUAUUGGUCAAUGGACGAGAGUCUGAACCAGCCAAGUAGCGUGAAGGAUGACUGCCCUAUGGGUUGUAAACUUCUUUUAUAUGGGAAUAAAAUGUUCCACGUGUGGGAUUUUGUAUGUACCAUAUGAAUAAGGAUCGGCUAACUCCGUGCCAGCAGCCGCGGUAAUACGGAGGAUCCGAGCGUUAUCCGGAUUUAGUGGGUUUAAAGGGAGCGUAGGUGGUUUGUUAAGUCAGUUGUGAAAGUUUGCGGCUCAACCGUAAAAUUGCAGUUGAAUCUGGCAGUCUUGAGUACAGUAGAGGUGGGCGGAAUUCGUGGUGUAGCGGUGAAAUGCUUAGAUAUCACGAAGAACUCCGAUUGCGAAGGCAGCUCACUGGACUGCAACUGACACUGAGGCUCGAAAGUGUGGGUAUCAAACAGGAUUAGAUACCCCUGUAGUC
Molecule: ribosomal RNA, 460 nt
Filed under: uncultured bacterium
Lineage: Bacteria
Description: partial 16S ribosomal RNA
Rfam family: Bacterial small subunit ribosomal RNA
Source: RNAcentral